This 202-nucleotide unclassified non-coding RNA is filed under the name Hevea brasiliensis (rubber tree). The record is from RNAcentral. Lineage: Eukaryota; Viridiplantae; Streptophyta; Magnoliopsida; Malpighiales; Euphorbiaceae.
UGCUCUUCUAGCUCCUUGCAUUUGGUUAAAGCAUCCCAAUGACAUUGCUUUUCAUCUUCAAGCUCAUUCUCUAGAGUUUCUACUUUUCCUCGCAGAAGGUUCACUUCAGUUUCUGACUCCUCUGCACGAGCUUCAAGUGACCUGUAUGACUCAGCCAUACAUUUCAGCUGUGUCUCAGCCAAGCUGUUUGACUUCUGUGCAG